GUGAAGCUGUCUCAUCUGUGACAUCAGACUUAUCUAUCUUAUUCACUGUCUCAUCUGACAGUAUUCCUUCAUUGGUCAAUGAUUUGAGAUGUCGUGAGGCAAUUGAACCAGUGGACACAGUUCCAGACAAAAGCUCACUGGGAGCAAUACUACCCUUCUCGUCAAUUUUUGUUAAACUCGAAACUUCAACAGGAUUUUCCUGCCUAGAACAUGAAAUAUUCAAUUCUCCAGAUUCAAGUGACUGAAUAUCAUUUGGAAAUUCUGAAGUCUGAGAGUUCAGCACAUCAACAAAAUCGAGGCCAUCUCCCCCACAGUUUGUACUG
RNAcentral lists this unclassified non-coding RNA (323 nucleotides) under Hevea brasiliensis (rubber tree). The record is from RNAcentral. Lineage: Eukaryota; Viridiplantae; Streptophyta; Magnoliopsida; Malpighiales; Euphorbiaceae.